UUAAUUAUAUUAAUAUAGGAAAUCCUCGAAUCCUUAUCUCAUUAACUUGCAACCUUCGAGAAUUUGUCAGAACAUGCAUGCCAUCAUUGCCUUGUUUACACAGCUCAACAAAUACUUGCAGGUAGAUGUUUUGCAACCUUGAUUGGGGCAUGCAAGUAGAUAUUCACAAAUUUAGCCACUUCCUUAAAUAGUCUGUUGCACAAUCUUGGUUGGUACAUGCAAAUCGGAAUAUUAACAAUUGAAUUUUAGUUUUGAAUUUUGAAAAAUAAAGAGAUUAUAUUCUUAAAAAAAUAAAAAUAUAAAGAUUAAAUUUUAAAUUUGUAAAGAGUUAGGGACCAAUAAUAUAUUUAACACUUUUUAUGUAAUAAUUGAAACAACAAUCUCAAAUUUGACAAAUUUAGCCAACAUUAUUGUUGAGCAGUUGAGAUACUGUAAAAAGGUAGAAAAUGUUGGUCUCCUUUGAGUGAGGAAUUCUUUUUUCUUCUAUGAACAAAGUUUCAGAAAAGGAGGCCUCACCAUUAUUGAGUAACGUAUAUUAAUAAGGUAGUUGAUGUUAAAUUCAAUUUUAGUGAAUUUUCUUAAGAUCGACAGUUUGAGAAUUUUAGAUUUGAUGAUGUUGAUAUUUGUUGAUACAAUUAUACAAUAAGGAGGGAAUAUGGAUGAGAGAGUAAUGAUUGUUAUGGAGGCCGGUUUAUCUAGUCGGAAGUUAUAAAGAGUGGGGGAAUAUGAAUGAGAGAAUGAUGGUUGCUAUGGAGGCCGGUUUAUCUGGUCAGGGUGAAGAGUCGGAGGUUACAAAGAGUGAAGAUAAGAGGAAUAUGAAGGCUAAGGGUUAAAGGUAAGUUACAAGAAUAUAGAUUUGAUUUCUUGGAGAGUAGAUCUCUUCUUCCUUGUUCCAAGAGGCAUUUAUAGGGAAGGAUCUGUGUAAGGUCACGUUAAUGUGUUGGACUUGCAUUAAGCCAUCAUUAGGGGAUGCGUGGGGUGGAUGUCUUCGAUGGGAGAUAUAUCUGAUAAGACAGAUCCUAUCAUUUAUUCUGCCUAGAUGGUAUGGAACAUUUGAACCUAUGUAGUAUUUGGUGACCAACAACUUCAUACUUCCAAUGAAGCUUAGGUAUUCGGAUAGUGGAUAGCUUGCACUUGUUUGAAUGGUCAUCCUGAAAAGGAAAACUCGCAAGUGACCUUCCAGUUUAUUGGUGACAGUCUUACCAUUUGAACACCUUUCUAGCUUGCCAUGUAUCUUGAUGCCAAUGAAAGUAAAACAAUAUUUUAAAUUAAAAACAAACAUAAAAUUAGAUUUAUGAAACUAUUAAUUAGAAACUUCAGUAAUUUGAUUAUAUGCUGAAAUUCUUCAAGGAACAACGAACACUUAAAUAGCAUGAUACAAGACAAAUAAAAUCACCAUUGGAUAUUCUAGCUUGUCGUACCUAAGACAAAAGUUCUCCACAUACAUGCAAGUAGCGAGCAACCCUAAGCUUCCACUUUAAUUUAUUUGGCACGUUUAGAAUUAAUGUUUAAGUUGGUAGUUAAUUUUUUCAACAAUAUUACUUCUAAGAUUUAAGUUUAUUUAUUGUUAUUAAAAAAUACACUAUAUCUUCCCACUAUUCUCCGCACUUAUUUAUAUCUUUCUUUAUUAUCUGACUACUAAAAUGCUUAAUUCCCUUCACCAUUAUAAUAUAUUCUUUAUUGAUUCUUUAAAAAGCAUCCUAAAACACAGGUAUCAACGCUGCCUUAGUUUACAUUUGUCUUGCAAGACAUUAAAAAAAACAGAGAGAGAGAGAGAUCAUUGACAAUAAGAAUAUUAGAAUUGAAAUUUAUCAAUACCACAUUUUAAGAAAGAUGGUAAGAACCAAACUUGAAGGAAACGUUACUAGUACAGACAGGUGUCAAAUGACCAGUGGAGGCUCCUAACCUUUGUCGUCAUUCACAACAGCCAAGAAUUUUCUAUUUUUCUGUUUUCACUCUCUUCAGCAGAUUGCUCCACGUCUCUCCUCUUAUUCUCUAUUAUAAAAACUAUUUUUGCUCUCAAUCUCCAGUAUAAAAUGUACCAAAAAUGAUCCAUCAAAUAGUAUGAAGGAAUUCAUUUUCUCAUUUUCUGAUUCUCUUUUAUUUUCAGUAUUUAGUCUAUAUUUUACACUUUUCUUGACUUAGUAUCAGAGCCUUUCUUCCUCACGAAUUAAGCUUCCGUUAUGACUAGAGGUGCUCAUGGGCCGGCCCGGGAAAAAAAUCAUAAGCCCGAGCCUGGCCCGACCCAUUUUUUAAUAAAUACCAAAAAAUUAUUUUAAAAAUUAAAAAAAUUAUUUUAAAAAUAUUUUAAAAAUAUUUUAAAAUUUAAAAAAAAUUAAAAAGUAUUUUAAAAUUAAAAAAUUAUAAAAAAAGUAUUUUAAAAUUAAAAAAAUUAAAAAUAUUUAUUAUAUCAGGCCGAGCCGGGCCGGGCCCAGGCCAAAAAAGUGGUGCCCGAGGCCCGGCCCGUUUUUUAAACGGGCCUUAUUUUUUGCCCAAGCCCAUAUUUCGGGCCUAUAUUUUUACCCAAACCCUCCCAUAUUUCGGGCGGGCCGUCGGGCAGGGCCGAGCCGCCCGGCCCAUGAGCACCUCUAGUUAUGACCAACACCAACAGUAACGCCACCAUUCAAACGACUGAAUCUGUCACUGCCUCCGGUGCGAUUGGGAGCUCCGUCGAUGGCUUUGAUGGAAGACUUUUUGCAACCAAAAAGCUUAACAUUAUCCUAGAUGAUGACAACUACUUAUUGUGGCAGCAACAAUUUUUACUGACAGCCAAAACCUUUAAACUUCAAGGCUACUUAGACGACACCCUGGUUCCACCUCCCUCGAUGAUACCCGAUGAAAGUGGUGGGUCAACACCAAACCCAGUUUUUGCAAGAUAUCAGCAAUAAGAUAGUGCUCUUGCUUCUUGGUUGCUUUCAUCAGUAAGUCAAACUGUUCUUCUUCACCUUAUUGGAAUGAACACUUCUUCUCAAAUAUGGCAAACUUUGGCCCGUGUCUAUGGCAGCAAAAUAACCUCCAAGUUAAUGUUUUAUCGUCGAGCACUUCAUUCUUAACGCAAAGGUGAUUUGAGCAUGAAGGUAUUUACUUAAAAUUAAAAGUUUCUGUGAUAACUUAGCAAUUUGUGAAGAAAUGUUAGUGAAUAUGAGCAUGUUACGGCUAUUUUAAAUGGCUUAUCUACUGAUUUUAAAUAUGUUAUUACUGUCAUCUCGGCUAGUCCUAUUCCAUACAGUGUUCAAACGGUAGCCACACUUCUUAUUGAUGCUGAAGCUCGACAACAAACUCUUCUCGCCUCUAUUCCAGUUGCUGCCAAUAUGAUUACCACUCAAAGUUCUCAAAACAAUGGAGAAACUCCCUCUUACAGACCACCCAAUCCUUUUUCUUUUCGAGGUCGAGGAAGGGGUCGAUUCAAUAAUUCUAGGCUCCAAUGCCAACUUUGCAGAAAGCCCGGGCAUCUGGUAGAUCGAUGCUACUUUCGUUUCGAUCAAAACUAAAAGGCUUCUACUUACAGAUCUCCCUCUUCACAACCGGGAACACAAGCUCCUCAAGCCUAUGUUGCUGCCUUCAACACCUCUCAAUUGACAUCAACUGGUGGGUCAUCCUUUGUGCAUAAUAGUGGGACAGCACCAUGGGCCCCACCUCCUUCACUUGAACCAUAUGGUUAUUGGAUUUAUCAAACCUCACAUCUCCAGAAUGCUAAUGCUAAUGCUUCCAUGCCACCAACCACUACUCUGCCUAAUAAUGCCAAUGCUUAUAUUGCAACUCCUAGGACAAUAAGUGAUCCAAGUUGGUACACAGACUCUAGUGCUACCCACCAUAUAACUCACUCUUCUGAAUCCAUGGGUGAAAAAGCUUCAUAUUUUGGACCAGGUACAAUUUAUGUUGUUAAUGGUUGUAGUCUUCCUGUUAUGCAUAUUGGUCAAUUGUCUUUAAUUACUCAAACACGACCUUUAGUCAUGUGCUCUUUACUUUAUGUUCCUGGCAUCACUAAAAAUCUUCUCUCUGUUUCCAAGUUCACUAGUGAUAAUCAAGUGGUGCUUGAGUUUUUUCCAAAGGAGUGCAAGGUUCGGGACCUAAAGAAUAAUGAAGUUCUGUUGCAUGGAGAUGUUCAUGGUGGUUUAUAUCGUUUAAAGUUGCCAUUUUCUUCUUCAAAUCCGUCUGCUCAAUGUUAUGUUGCGUCGCAUGCUAUUCCGUUGUCUUUAUGGCAUGCUCGUCUUGGGCAUCCAUGCUGCUCUACUCUUGUUCAAGCUCUUCAACAUUGUAAUGUUUCAUUUCAUGAUAAUAAAAUUGGUGACUGUUUGUAACACCCAUUACCCGUAUCCAACACCGGAAUAGGGUACGAGGCAUUACCAAAACACAUACACUUGUAAACGUAUUUAACCGAGUUAUAAAAUUUCAUCAAAAUUAAAACUUUCAAAAUAAUUAACAUGUUUCUAUAACUUUUCACAAUAUAUCCUCAAAAUAUUAUAAUCAUAAUAAUUAGGGCCUGCGAGACCCGAUACAUACUCAUGCAAUUUAAUGCUUCAUUUCCAUUUCAUUCAAUUCGCAAUUUCUCAUGCUCAUAAUUUAAAUCAUAUCACUAGCAAUUUCCAUUUAAUUCACGUACAAUUCAAUGACAUCAAAUUCAAAACUAAUACGUAUUUACCAUUUAACUCAAUGUUUAUUGAUUAUACCAUUCAAUAACACAUUUAUGAAAUUCUCAAUUUAGCAAUGAAAAUAUCACUUUAGUUUGAAUAACAACAUCGUCCUGAUAUAAAUACACUACCACUUAUCCAUUUACUUUAAUUCUUUUGGGCCCAUUUGUCACUUACCAUCCUUAAUCAAAUUAGGGAACGGUCACGGAAAAUUGAGUACUUCACUUUCACUUUGCCAUAGUAUAACUAUGGUCUUACGUAUGAUCACUUAUCACUUGUCCCUGAUCAGAUAAGUGUAGCCACCUAUCACUUUGUUUCUUGAUCAGAUAAGUGUAGCCACUUAUCACUUUGUCUCUUGAUCAGAAGUACUCAAAUCCGGCGUUCCGCUCAAUUUGAUCAUUUAUUCAUAUAUCAGGCUUACCAACAUGUGUUAAUUCAUAAACCAUUCAUGGUAUUAUUUCAUGCCAAAUCAUAUACUGAAUAUACCAUACACACAUACUAUGAAACUUUAUUUUCACACAUGAGCUUAAACCAUGACCAAUAAUGCACAAAAAUAAGCAUCAUUCAUAUUUCAUCGNNNNNNNNNNNNNNNNNNNNNNNNNNNNNNNNNNNNNNNNNNNNNNNNNNNNNNNNNNNNNNNNNNNNNNNNNNNNNNNNNNNNNNNNNNNNNNNNNNNNNNNNNNNNNNNNNNNNNNNNNNNNNNNNNNNNNNNNNNNNNNNNNNNNNNNNNNNNNNNNNNNNNNNNNNGAGUCAGAGUCACUAAAUUAUUUUUAUCCGGAUCUACAGAGCUCCAAAUUAAGAUCCGUUAAUUUUCCCUGAAACUAGACUCACAUAUCUUCAUACCAUAAAAUUUUCAUAAUUUUUGGUUCAGCCAAAUAGUACAGUUUAUUCUUUAAAGUUUCCCCUGUUUCGCUGUCUGACAGUUCCGACCACUCUUCACUAAAAAUUAAUUAUCUCAUUGUACAGAAUUCGGAUGAUGUUUUAGCUUGUUUCUUCUAAAAAUAGACUCAUUAAGGAUUCUAACCAUAUAAACUAUAACUCAUAAUCAUUUUUGUACAAUUUUUAAUGAUUUUCCAAAGUCAGAACAGGGGAACCCGAAUUCAUUCUGACCUUGUCUCACAAAAUCUAUUAUAUCUCAUGAUUUACAAUUCCAUUGCUCACAUCAUUUCUUUUAUAAGAAACUAGACUCAAUAAUCUUUAGUUUCAUAUUUUAUUCAUCCUCUAAUUCAAUCUCUACAAUUUUUGGUGAUUUUUCAAAGUUACACUACUGCUGCUGUCCAAAACUGCUUUAGUGCAAAAUGUUGAUUUCCAUUUUGCCCCAAAUUUCACAGUUUAUACAAUUCGGUCCUUUCUCAAUUAACCCCUCAAUUAAUCUAAUUUUCUCAAUUAGUACUUUACUAGACAUUAUAAGUUGUUACACAACUAUUGAAAUUCAGAAUUUCCACAUAUAACUCUAUCUUCAAACUCUUUUACUAUUAGGUCCCAAACAUUCACUUUCUAUUCAAUUCUUUCAAUAAAAUCAGCAUAUGAACAAUUUAAAGCUCUAAUUUCAUGCUAAAUCAUCAUAUACUUCCAGCACAUAUUCAUAUCAACUUUCAACUUCUUUCAUAAAAUCAAAAACUAAUGAAUUUAACAAGUGAGCCUAGUUGUAAAAGUCAUAAAAAUACAAAAAUUUCAAGAAAUAGUCAAGAAUUGAACUUACUUGUAAUAAAAAUAUGAAGAACCAGCUUGAAGAAGCCCUUCCAUGGUGUUUUAGC
This 6388-nucleotide long non-coding RNA is filed under the name Gossypium raimondii (Peruvian cotton). RNAcentral's name for it is "long non-coding RNA (GRAI_LNC006915)". The record is from RNAcentral. Lineage: Eukaryota; Viridiplantae; Streptophyta; Magnoliopsida; Malvales; Malvaceae.